CCUACGGGAGACUGCAGUCGGGAAUAUUGCUCAAUGGGGGAAACCCUGAAGCAGCAACGCCGCGUGGAGGAUGAAGGUUUUCGGAUUGUAAACUCCUUUUGUUAGAGAAGAUAAUGACGGUAUCUAACGAAUAAGCACCAGCUAACUCCGUGCCAGCAGCCGCGGUAAUACGGAGGGUGCAAGCGUUACUCGGAAUCACUGGGCGUAAAGAGCGCGUAGGCGGGAUAGCAAGUCAGAUGUGAAAUCCUAUGGCUUAACCAUAGAACUGCAUUUGAAACUGUGAUUCUAGAGUAUUGGAGAGGUAGGUGGAAUUCUUGGUGUAGGGGUAAAAUCCGUAGAGAUCAAGAGGAAUACUCAUUGCGAAGGCGACCUGCUAGACAAUAACUGACGCUGAUGCGCGAAAGCGUGGGGAGCAAACAGGAUUAGAUACCCGGGUAGUC
This 440-nucleotide ribosomal RNA is filed under the name uncultured bacterium. RNAcentral describes it as "partial 16S ribosomal RNA". It matches the Rfam family "Bacterial small subunit ribosomal RNA", at positions 338 to 795 of the family's 1533-position model. The record is from RNAcentral.